This 107-nucleotide small nucleolar RNA is filed under the name Gossypium arboreum. RNAcentral describes it as "Plant small nucleolar RNA R71". It matches the Rfam family "Plant small nucleolar RNA R71". From Rfam's summary of the family: R71 is a member of the C/D box family of snoRNAs containing the C (UGAUGA) and D (CUGA) box motifs. The record is from Rfam by way of RNAcentral. Lineage: Eukaryota; Viridiplantae; Streptophyta; Magnoliopsida; Malvales; Malvaceae.
AACCCAUGGUGAAGGCGCCUUCUCAACAAAUCCUUGUAUCUCUCCCAUGCAUCGUAGAGUGUUUCUAGAUCUAUCUACACAAAAGAGGAGAUAUCAUUACGUAAUUU